UAAAAAAAAAAAAGAAAAGAAAAGAAGAAAAGAAAAUCCUGAGCCUUGUAAUAAAAAAGUGCAGAGUGGCAGGGUGGCUGUACAAUGAUGUAAAAUGAGGACGACAGUAAAACCCUCCUGCACUCAAAAUACCUCCUCUACGUUCAUAUUUCUAUAUCUGAAAUUGUACUGUGUGCUUCCUAUCAUUUAAGAAUUCCACUCUCCCAUGGGUUCCCAUUUAAAAAUUCUAGAUUCAUAUCCAGCUCUCGUGUUAGCUGUUCUAAAUUGUUGUCUCUCUCAGGUGCUUUGGGAAACACAGGGGUGAGAACAACUGUUUCCUGAGUCAGAGAAAACCUCCCAGAAGGGAUGACAAGUGUGCUGGGAUUUAAAAGAUAAAUAGGAGCUAGCCAGACAGAGAGAUGGUGGGAAGUCACCCCCCUCCAUGAGCAAGGACAGCAUAUUCAAAGGUGAGUGGCUGGGAGUUGUAUGGCAACUUUGGGGAGCCAACUGUAUUUUGUUGCAGGAGUUGAAAGGAGUUCAGUGUGUAGGGUGGGUCUGUGUGUGUGUGUAUGUCAGGGGUAAGGGGCAGGAGGGGACAGUGGUGUGCAUGGAAAGCCUUGGGGACACACAGAGAGAUUUGAACUUUGUCCUGUAGGUGCUGGGGAGCCACUGAAGGUUUCAAAGGAGGGUCCAGGUAUGAUCAGGAGCAGGUUUCCCUUUCCUCUCUUCCCACAGCCCCUAACCCAGUGAGGUUAUUCUCUGUAUGAGGACAGAAUGACAAUAAUGGCUUGACUUCCACAGCCAUGAUGCUCAUUACUUAAAGAAUUACAGCCACUCAUGGGCAUUGGAGUCAUCCCUGGGGAGCUGAAGGCGUCAUUGGAGUCCUCAGAGUCUCAGCAGGCAGGAUGAUGUCAUGCUUUCUGUGACUGGAGGCCUCCUUCCCCCAGGGACAGCAUUCAUUGUGUUCCUUACAAGUAAGUCUCUCCCCAGGUGGACAGUGCAUGCCCACAGGCUGAAGAAGGCCCAAGAUGGUGAGCUCUGAUUUGAGCUGAGGUCUCCCACCCACAUGCUUCCACCACCAUGGAGAAUGAAGGUGCCUUUCUCUUAUCCCAAGACCAAGGAAAGGAAUUCCUCAGGGACCACCUGGAAUACUUCCCACGUGACCUUUGGAACCCAGAGAGGCACCCACCCACCAACCAGAAGGGAGCUGCAGGCAAGAAAGGCCAGAAAUGGGGUUGGGGGCUCUUUGAAGAACCCUCCAGAGUGCUCCAAAGGAAAAAGUCAGCUCUGAACACCUGCGAGGCCCAGAGAAGAUCCGAUGCAUCAUCAUGACUGAAGCAUCCUCAGAAGACCCUUCUUCCCACACCCCACCCCAUUCUGGGAGGAUAGGAAGAAAGAAAGGCAGAGUGCUGGAGAGGAGCUGACCCCAGCCCCAAACAUCCCCAGGAUGGAGGGAGACAGAGGUGGUAACUUCUAACAAAGUUGGAAAUCUUUAUGGAACACAAUAAUUUUUUUUUAAAGUAGGUUCCAAGCCCAGCGUAGAGCCCAACGCUGGGCCCAAACUCACAACCCUCUUAUCAAGACCUGAGCUGAGAUCAAGAGUCAGAUGCUUAACCAACUGAACCACCCAGGUGCCCCGGGACACACUAAGUCUUGAAUUGAGGCUGCUCUAGGAACCGAGAAGAGUGAGAAUAAAUAAGAAAGUCUUGGAUUUUCAUCCAGGAACAUUGGUUGCCUGUCACAAGUUGUGUUUGUUCAACUGCAUUUUGAUUUUACUAUAAUAGUUCUCUGAAUACACCACUCAGGACAGCCGCUGCCUCACUCGUGCUGAUCUCUCAGCCUAGAAUGCCCUCCCCACCCUGGCCCUCCAUCCAGUUCCAUCAUCCAAACUCGAGCCCAUCACCAUCUCCUUGAGAGACCCUCUCUUGAUUCUCCCUGUUCCUGCUUUCCUUUGUAGAGAGGGAAGGGGCACACCUGUUUGAUUGCAGGAAGACAAACCCACCAAUGCCCCAGCUUUGGGGGAAGAUGCUAUUCUUUAUGGUGAUUCUUCUUGUCAUUCCCACACAGUGUUGUUGUUGUUGUUGUUUAAUCAGAUUUAUUGAGGUAUGGAUUUACCAACAAUAAAAUAAACUCAUUUUAAGUUCAGUGAGUUUUGACAAAUAUAUAAACCCACACCCAUCACUAACACAACCAAGAUAUGGAAUAUGUCUGUCACCCCAAAUUUCCCUUGUCCCCUCCCGGUAUGAUCCCCACCCCUGCCCAGCCUCAG
Molecule: long non-coding RNA, 2248 nt
Organism: Ailuropoda melanoleuca (giant panda)
Lineage: Eukaryota; Metazoa; Chordata; Mammalia; Carnivora; Ursidae
Exons: 3
Source: RefSeq, a predicted model, not a curated record